GUGCUCGCAGCACAUAUUACUAAAAUUGGAACGAUAUAGAGAUUAGUAUGGCCCCAGCGCAAGGAUGACAUGCAGAUUCAUGAAGAGUUCAUGGUUUGU
Camelus dromedarius (Arabian camel) is the source of this 99-nucleotide small nuclear RNA. Lineage: Eukaryota; Metazoa; Chordata; Mammalia; Artiodactyla; Camelidae. The record is from Ensembl.